CCUACGGGGGGCAGCAGUGAGGAAUAUUGGUCAAUGGGCGUAAGCCUGAACCAGCCAAGUCGCGUGAGGGAUGAAGGUUCUAUGUAUCGUAAACCUCUUUUAUAAGGGAAUAAAGUGCGGGACGUGUCCCGUGUUGUAUGUACCUUAUGAAUAAGGAUCGGCUAACUCCGUGCCAGCAGCCGCGGUAAUACGGAGGAUCCGAGCGUUAUCCGGAUUUAUUGGGUUUAAAGGGUGCGUAGGCGGCCUUUUAAGUCAGCGGUGAAAGCCUGUGGCUCAACCCUAGAAUUGCCGUUGAAACUGGGAGGCUUGAGUAUGUUUGAGGUAGGCGGAAUGCGUGGUGUAGCGGUGAAAUGCUUAGAUAUCACGCAGAACCCCGAUUGCGAAGGCAGCCUGCCAGGCCAUGACUGACGCUGAUGCACGAAAGCGUGGGGAUCAAACAGGAUUAGAUACCCUAGUAGUC
RNAcentral lists this ribosomal RNA (460 nucleotides) under uncultured bacterium. RNAcentral's name for it is "partial 16S ribosomal RNA". It matches the Rfam family "Bacterial small subunit ribosomal RNA", at positions 338 to 795 of the family's 1533-position model. The record is from RNAcentral.